CCAAGGGUUCCUGUCCAACGUUAAUCGGGGCAGGGUGAGUCGACCCCUAAGGCGAGGCCGAAAGGCGUAGUCGAUGGGAAACAGGUUAAUAUUCCUGUACUUGGUGUUACUGCGAAGGGGGGACGGAGAAGGCUAUGUUGGCCGGGCGACGGUUGUCCCGGUUUAAGCGUGUAGGCUGGUUUUCCAGGCAAAUCCGGAAAAUCAAGGCUGAGGCGUGAUGACGAGGCACUACGGU
This 235-nucleotide ribosomal RNA is filed under the name Xanthomonas citri pv. citri. RNAcentral describes it as "partial 23S ribosomal RNA". It matches the Rfam family "Bacterial large subunit ribosomal RNA", at positions 1345 to 1583 of the family's 2925-position model. Lineage: Bacteria; Pseudomonadati; Pseudomonadota; Gammaproteobacteria; Lysobacterales; Lysobacteraceae. The record is from RNAcentral.